RNAcentral lists this ribosomal RNA (253 nucleotides) under uncultured bacterium. RNAcentral's name for it is "partial 16S ribosomal RNA". It matches the Rfam family "Bacterial small subunit ribosomal RNA", at positions 524 to 776 of the family's 1533-position model. The record is from RNAcentral.
UACAGAGGGUGCGAGCGUUAAUCGGAAUUACUGGGCGUAAAGCGCGCGUAGGCGGCUUUGCAAGCCGGAUGUGAAAUCCCCGGGCUUAACCUGGGAACUGCAUUCGGGACUGCAUUGCUCGAGUAUGGGAGAGGGAAGUGGAAUUUCAGGUGUAGCGGUGAAAUGCGUAGAUAUCUGAAGGAACAUCAGUGGCGAAAGCGACUUCCUGGACCAAUACUGACGCUCAUGUGCGAAAGCGUGGGGAGCAAACAGG